AUGGACAGCGAGCGGCACCUACUCCGCGCAGUCCUGCUACCUCGCCACCUUCCAUGGAUCAACGGCUUGCUAUUCUUGGAAGCUAAUUUGGAAAUGCUAGGCGCCGCCGAGAGUCAAAUUCCUCCACUGGUUGGCCAACCAGGACCGGUGCUGGACUGCAGAGAGGCUGGCUCGCCAUGGACUCCAACAUCAUCCCCGCUGCCUCCUUUGUGA
This 213-nucleotide ribosomal RNA is filed under the name Triticum aestivum (bread wheat). Its description in RNAcentral is "partial small subunit ribosomal RNA". The record is from RNAcentral. Lineage: Eukaryota; Viridiplantae; Streptophyta; Magnoliopsida; Poales; Poaceae.